RNAcentral lists this long non-coding RNA (553 nucleotides) under Gossypium raimondii (Peruvian cotton). RNAcentral describes it as "long non-coding RNA (GRAI_LNC004733)". Lineage: Eukaryota; Viridiplantae; Streptophyta; Magnoliopsida; Malvales; Malvaceae. The record is from RNAcentral.
AAAGAAGCAAAACAGGUUUAAUUGAAGCGCGUCGCAAAAGGCAGGGGCUAAAUGCGCAAUUGUACCAUCAAAAGCAACAACGCCCGGAUCCUCCCCUUCAGGUCGGGUCACCGCGCGGGUCUGCUUUAGUGAAAACGACGUCGUUUCGAAAAUAUUAUUUAAACAAAAAAAUGUUAAAAAAACAGUUUACAGCACACUCAAAAAAAAUAAAAAAGAAAGGGUUGCCACCCCUUUUCCUCUGCUAGGGUUUCAGCCCUAGCCCCCUUUUGCGCCGCCGCCGUAACACGCCUCCGCCGUAAUUUCACCGAGAAUGGUGAUUGGAGAGGUGACACGACGGGCUUUUAACUGCCCUUGAGCAGAUUCAAAACGGAGGUAACCCCUUUUUCCCCCUUUUUCUAAUUUUAUUUAUACAAAAACAAUCAAAAAAAAAAGAAAAAACGUAAGAUGCAAAAAUGAAAAGAAAACAGUGGUGCGAUUCACCUCUUUUCUAUUUUAUUGUUUUUUUAUCUUCUUCUCUGUGUAUCUCUCUGUUAUUGUCUAUAUCUCCCCCCGC